GCGGUAACGAAGCGUCGGAAGAAUUACCUGAGCUUUUGAUGGAGUCAUCCGUUCAAAUAGUGGCAGAGGAAGAGUUGGAGGAUGUCGAUUUGGGGUAUGUGAUGCCGGUAGUCCCCCCAGUAGCUCAUGGAUGUACUACUGCAGGUACUCCAGUAGGGGGAGUAUUGACUGCUGCUGCCUCACCUGAUGACACCUCCAGGAUGCCGCUGGUGGAGGGUUGCAGGGGCCAACAGGCAAGCCCAGUAUCAGUGCCCCUGGUUGGAUCUCCGUCACUCGAUGUAGUAGUCCCACGUCGAACGGGACGUGUGGGGGCUGGAGAACAUUCCAAUAGGUAUCACCUUCCACGAGGAGUUGGAAUGGUGAACUCUGGGGUGGCUGAGUUUCCAAUCCCAGGGUCCCACGCCGUCAUGGCUUUGUUUCGACCAUGGCAGUAAGUCCCCUGAGAAGUUUCAGGUAAUUGUUUCACCGUCGGGACGACGAUGAAAGGUUGAGGGGGUAGACUGUAGCAGUAUGCAUUUACGCUCCUUAUUAACACACGGCUGGAGGGCGAUUUAACGUUAGUGAUGGGGACUUUAAAUAUGGCUUGUGCACGUCAGCUGGGAAGGCAUCAUAUGUGACGUCAUGUCCUUGUUGUCAUUCCGGCUCGAUGGGCAAGUGCUAGAGAGUGGACGGGGAAAUUAACCGGUAUGCACUCGGCUGCGCUCCUGGUUGUGUAAAACUUCGGUGUGGGGAUGAAUUCCGCGAUGUGUUAAUACAGUGCUGUUGCAGGUGUCUUCCAUAUGCCUGUAUGACGUAAUGGUGGGUUGUUUGUUGCUGCGGUCAGCUGCUUGCGAGACGCUGGAAAUCGAGAUCCAGACCUAACAUAAACUUGCUGUUCCAACAUAAACUCGCUGUUAAAUUACCAAUUAAUGCUGUGACUGCU
Molecule: non-coding RNA, 922 nt
Organism: Pimephales promelas (fathead minnow)
Lineage: Eukaryota; Metazoa; Chordata; Actinopteri; Cypriniformes; Leuciscidae
Source: RefSeq, a predicted model, not a curated record